This 445-nucleotide ribosomal RNA is filed under the name uncultured bacterium. RNAcentral's name for it is "bacterial SSU rRNA". It matches the Rfam family "Bacterial small subunit ribosomal RNA", at positions 330 to 792 of the family's 1533-position model. The record is from RNAcentral.
UCCAGACUCCUACGGAGGCAGCAGUGGGGGAUAUUGCACAAUGGGGGAAACCCUGAUGCAGCGACGCCGCGUGGGUGAAGAAGUAUUUCGGUAUGUAAAGCCCUAUCAGCAGGGAAGAAAGAAGACGGUACCUGACUAAGAAGCCCCGGCUAACUACGUGCCAGCAGCCGCGGUAAUACGUAGGGGGCGAGCGUUAUCCGGAUUCACUGGGUGUAAAGGGAGCGUAGACGGCCGUGCAAGCCAGGAGUGAAAGCCCGGGGCUCAACCCCCGAACUGCAUUUGAAACUGUUGGUCUUGAGUAUCGGAGAGGCAGGCGGAAUUCCUAGUGUAGCGGUGAAAUGCGUAGAUAUUAGGAGGAACACCAGUGGCGAAGGCGGCCUGCUGGACGACAACUGACGGUGAGGCGCGAAAGCGUGGGGAGCAAACAGGAUUAGAUACCCGUGUA